UUUCUUAACCUCAUCCUUCAAGUCCUGUAUCUUAUGACAGAGAAAACAUACUAUUCUUGGCGUGAAAAGGAGAAAUUUUCUUCCUGCCAAAUUAUCCCCUUUAUUUUGCCACCAAAGGCUUUGCCUUCCAUAGCCUUUCAAUUAGGAGAGAAAAGAAAAUAUUUGGGACUAAUGAAAAAGGCAAAGGUUUUAUCCUCCUUCUCACAUCACCUCAGGCCUUUAAGGCCCUUCAGUUGAGAGUUGAGAUGACAAAGGAGGAAUGUGCUUCUUGCCAGUCAAUCUGCCAUGUAUUUUUCCACCUUGGGUCUUCGAGGCCUUUUACUGGAUGGUGGAGACGGACUCACUGGAGUUCAAAACAGAGAGACUAGCUCCAUGCGCAUUCUAACUGGCUCCAUGCAGAUAGCUAACUGUGCGUCCUCCCGAACUGUCUUCAGGCUCCACCCCUGGUCUUUAUGGCUUGGGCUGUUGCAGAGAGCACAGAGGUAGGAAUGUAGGUGAAGAGCUUCAUGCUAAUCCCCAACCCCAUAAUCCCUGAAAGGGUUUUCACUUUGUCCUUCCACUCUGCCUGCUCUUCCCUCGCAACCUUGGACCAAGUCAACAAACCACUCUGUGGCACCUAACCAGAUUCAGCAUCCUAAGAGCUGAGAUGGUUUGGUGUGGGAAUGAUGGAGAAUGAAACAGGGCCAGCUAGCACUACUCGAGAAAAGCUCCAUUUCCUCCAUCGAGUGUUCACCUCUAGAAGAGUAGAGAAUGAAGGAAAAUCAAAUGAUGGUUGGGUUUGGAGAAAAUCCGGCUACCGGUUAAGAGAAAACUGUUCUGGACCCGAGGUUCAGUCUCGAGCCUCUGGUCCAGGAUGUUAGAGGGUGAUAAAAGAAAAUUUGAGGUGGAGGAGGAGAGGUUUUGCAUCAGCCAAAUUCUUGCCAAACUUAACUUUAUGCAAAACAGCCUCUCCUCAGAUGAUCUCUUGUCUUGGGUCUUCAAGGCCCUGGAGGGAGUCGGGAGAAAGUAGCUUCAGGCAAAAAGCUCCCCUUUGGUACAUCAACUCCCAUCCUGGCUACUCUGGCCUUUGUGGUGGGUGGUGGGGAAGGGGGGAAAUCUCCAAAGAAUCUGUACAGGGCAAACGGGAGAUUCUCUUCAUGCAGAAUCUCCUGAAAAACAUGGUCCAGCUAUGCAAGAAAUCCCCAGUUAGCCUUUAUGGCUGCACUUCUGGACCAAGAAAUUAUCCUCACUGAUGGUCUGGGAUAUUUCUCUUGUGAGCCUUCUGGGUUUCAGAGAGGUUAGAGCUGAACCCAUUUGACCUUAGAGCCUCAUUUUCCAUGUUCGUAAACUGUCCAGUUUGAUAGGGAAAUACCUUUCAAAAUUCUAUAGUGUUAUGUCAGGACUACAAUUUCAAACCUGCAUGACAAAAGCACAACAGAGAGAACUCCUUGUCCUCCUCUAAGUCCUGAUUGACCAACUCAGUGUUCAAUGGAAUGUUAUGUUUCUCUCACUCAAAGCAUAUGAAACUACUAAAAGAUUUAUGCAGUCCAUCACACCAGCAUUUCAAAUGUCAAUAAAAUAGCUAAAUAAAAUAAAAAUAAACAUAAAACACAACUAAAGGUAGCACAAUAAAAUACGAUAAAAUAGUUUAAAAUAAAAAUUAAUACUAAAAUAAUUAACAUAUAAAAUGACAUAUAAAUCCAUGCAACACUCAUUCCAUUGAACAUAGACGUUUGGGAUAUCUUAGGACAAAAAAAAUACCAAGCACUGAAAGGCCAAAAAUUGGUGAGGUCUAUCUCUCUGCAUUUUCUACCGUGAUUAGAUGAAUGUCUUUAUGAAUGCAAACUGACUAUAACACUAUAGACGCCCCCAAAACCUCACGGGAGAAUUCCGUCCAAUUUCCAAGCAAUUUUACCUCAUACACUUUUGUUUUAAGAAUGCCUGUCACACUGAGUAUUUUGUUCUCAAGGUUUUAAACCUGUACAGAUUUGGGGGGCUCCUACUCCCAGCUGGAUCUUGGAUCUGUGGUAGGCACCGGUAGGAGCAGAGGUAAGUGCCGGGGGGCCCGAAGGUAGAAAUGCACUAAUUCCCAUGAAGGGUGGGUUUGAGGGAUAUCCUCAGGGUGGCCCUGGGAGCUGGCAAGUGUCACCAUGAUGAAUGUCAGUUUAUUUACACCUGCCUUUGCUUUUCUACUUCCAAAU
Tachyglossus aculeatus (Australian echidna) is the source of this 2180-nucleotide long non-coding RNA. RefSeq lists it as uncharacterized. Lineage: Eukaryota; Metazoa; Chordata; Mammalia; Monotremata; Tachyglossidae. The transcript has 3 exons. The record is from RefSeq and is a predicted model, not a curated record.